AUUUUAUAAAACAUUGCAAGAGAUGUUGAAAGCGUGUGAGUGGAUAAGAAGAGGUGGUUGCUCACUUAAAUUCAAAUCAAAUUUGAAUUCAAGUGUCAACCAAUCUUAUCCUCAUCCAUUUGUGCGAGAAAGAAGAGAUGGCGUGGCCUUUUUUUUGUGCAUGGAGACUUUCACAAGAAACCAUUUCUCGUGUGGAAUAUGGGGCGCACAAAAGAGGAUAAGCUGGCGCAUGGUUAUUUGG
This 241-nucleotide long non-coding RNA is filed under the name Elaeis guineensis (African oil palm). RNAcentral describes it as "long non-coding RNA (EGUI_LNC064660)". The record is from RNAcentral. Lineage: Eukaryota; Viridiplantae; Streptophyta; Magnoliopsida; Arecales; Arecaceae.